Molecule: ribosomal RNA, 52 nt
Filed under: Macrophomina phaseolina
Lineage: Eukaryota; Fungi; Ascomycota; Dothideomycetes; Botryosphaeriales; Botryosphaeriaceae
Also listed under: 1 other name
Description: partial 28S ribosomal RNA
Source: RNAcentral
AAGGUUGACCUCGGAUCAGGUAGGGAUACCCGCUGAACUUAAGCAUAUCAAU